AAUUCAUAGCAGAUGCUGCUGCACACUGGGUGAGGACGGAGCAUAUACUUAAUACAGGAUGCGAUUAGCAGAGGAAGAUGACCUUUCUAGCAGGCUGGAGUUAACACCCAGAGUCUGAGCCACCCACUAAUGACCCGCUCAUUAUCACAACAAACAAAUCAAAUGCCAGUGUGAAAUGCAACACAUGCAGAGGGCACUGUGUUGACACCUUUCUGUACUUCAUGAUGCAAGGUGAUUCCGUUCAGUCUCAGGGUUUGCAAUCUCAUGAAUCUGAUUUACAGACGUAAUAUUUAAAGACAACAGCAACAAACGCCAUCUUUGAAGGACCGUGCUUCCUUCAAAGAAUCAGGAUGCCCAUGAGAGACCAAAGCAGUCUCUUGGCCCCUAGACAUGCCCUCCAGGAACAACCUGGCUGUGAGCGGAGAGUUUAAUAGGCAAGAAGGAAGGGAGAAGACAGAAGGAAGAUGCUCCCCCAUACAGAGACAGGGGGAGGGGGGCUCCAAAGCCGAAAAGAGGAGGUCCCCAAGUACUGUGGACACCAGCCAGGUAUAUAUAUGCAGAGGCUGGAGGAGGCAAUGUCUGAUUUGCAUAGGGCUCAGGGGAGAGAUGAAAACACAAAUAAUAUGGAAGAUGGGAACCCUCAGGCCUACCUCAACUUAAAAAUGGGUGUAAUAACAGUACCAGCCUUCUAGCAUUGUUACAGAGAUUAAAUGUGAUCAUGCAUUCAAGGGCUUAGCACAGGGCCAGGCUGCUGGGAAAGGCUUGAUGAUAAUAUUGGUAAUAAAACCUGUUA
This 793-nucleotide non-coding RNA is filed under the name Pongo abelii (Sumatran orangutan). Lineage: Eukaryota; Metazoa; Chordata; Mammalia; Primates; Hominidae. The record is from RNAcentral.